This 110-nucleotide small nucleolar RNA is filed under the name Meriones unguiculatus (Mongolian gerbil). RNAcentral's name for it is "Small nucleolar RNA SNORA17 (ENSMUGG00000016812.1)". It matches the Rfam family "Small nucleolar RNA SNORA17". From Rfam's summary of the family: snoRNA ACA 17 belongs to the H/ACA family of snoRNAs and is predicted to guide pseudouridylation of the 28S rRNA at positions U4659 and U4598. Lineage: Eukaryota; Metazoa; Chordata; Mammalia; Rodentia; Muridae. The record is from RNAcentral.
CCGGCCCCUAAAGAUGCUGUCGGUGUGGCUGCUGUGUCGCUUGUGUGUCAGUAGGUGGCAGAGAAGGGAGAGGCUGUGUCUACAAUCCCCUUUUCCUAAUAACCUUCUCU